GUACGGCGAGUGAAGAGGAAAGAGCUCAAAGUUGGAACCUGUUUGGCCUAGCUAAACCGGAUUGUAGACUGUAGAAGUGUUUUCCAGGCAAGCCGAGUAAAUAAGUCCUUUGGAACAGGGCAUCAUAGAGGGUGAGAAUCCCGUCUUUGGCUUGAGCAUUUGCCUUUUGUGAUACGCUUUCAAAGAGUCAGGUUGUUUGGGAAUGCAGCCUAAAUUGGGUGGUAAAUCUCACCUAAAGCUAAAUAUUGGCGAGAAACCGAUAGCGAACAAGUACCGUGAGGGAAAGAUGAAAAGAACUUUGAAAAGAGAGUUAAACAGUAUGUGAAAUUGUUAAAAGGGAACCGUUUGGAGCCAGACUGGCUUGUCUGUAAUCAAUCUAGGCUUCGGCCUGGAUGCACUUGCAGGCUAUGCCUGCCAACGACAAUUUGACUUGAGGGAAAAAACUAGGGGNAAUGUGGCCCACUUGUGGGUGUUAUAGUCCCUUAGAAAAUACCUUGGGUUGGAUUGAGGAACGCAGCGAAUGCUUAUUGGCGAGUUUUCCAGGAAGGUUUUCUGAGGUACUACGGUAUCAAGGUUGAUCUUUUUGGUUAUACUUCUAUUCGCUUAGGUUGUUGGCUNNNUGACUCUNAAUGANCCNNNNNNNAACAACGGACCNNNA
RNAcentral lists this ribosomal RNA (658 nucleotides) under Rhizopus arrhizus. RNAcentral describes it as "Rhizopus oryzae partial large subunit ribosomal RNA". It matches the Rfam family "Eukaryotic large subunit ribosomal RNA", at positions 83 to 671 of the family's 3401-position model. The record is from RNAcentral. Lineage: Eukaryota; Fungi; Mucoromycota; Mucoromycetes; Mucorales; Rhizopodaceae.